CCUACGGGAGGCAGCAGUGAGGAAUAUUGGUCAAUGGGCUUACGCCUGAACCAGCCAAGUCGCGUGAGGGAAGACUGCCCUAUGGGUUGUAAACCUCUUUUGUCAGGGAGCAAUUGGCGCUACGUGUAGCGUUAUCGAGAGUACCUGAAGAAAAAGCAUCGGCUAACUCCGUGCCAGCAGCCGCGGUAAUACGGAGGAUGCGAGCGUUAUCCGGAUUUAUUGGGUUUAAAGGGUGCGUAGGCGGAAUGCCAAGUCAGCGGGAAAAUCGCGGGGCUCAACCUCGCUCCGCCGUUGAAAAUGGCGUUCUUGAGUGGGCGAGAAGUAUGUGGAAUGCGUGGUGUAGCGGUGAAAUGCAUAGAUAUCACGCAGAACUCCGAUUGCGAAGGCAGCAUACCGGCGCCCAACUGACGCUGAAGCACGAAAGCGUGGGUAUCGAACAGGAUUAGAUACCCCAGUAGUC
Molecule: ribosomal RNA, 460 nt
Filed under: uncultured bacterium
Lineage: Bacteria
Description: partial 16S ribosomal RNA
Rfam family: Bacterial small subunit ribosomal RNA
Source: RNAcentral